This 468-nucleotide ribosomal RNA is filed under the name uncultured bacterium. RNAcentral describes it as "partial 16S ribosomal RNA". It matches the Rfam family "Bacterial small subunit ribosomal RNA", at positions 28 to 507 of the family's 1533-position model. The record is from RNAcentral.
GACGAACGCUGGCGGCGUGCUUAAAAAAUGCAAGUGGAAGGGAAGGGCCCUGCUUUUGUGGGGUGCUCGGGUGGCAAACGGGUGGGUAACACGGGGGUAACCUGCCCUUGACUUGGGGAUAACUUCAGGAAACUGGGGCUAAUACCGGAUAGGAGCUCCGGCUGCAUGGUGGGGGUGGGAAAGUUUCGGCGGUUGGGGAUGGACUCGCGGCUUAUCAGCUUGUUGGUGGGGUAGUGGCUUACCAAGGCUUUGACGGGUAGCCGGCCUGAGAGGGUGACCGGCCACAUUGGGACUGAGAUACGGCCCAGACUCCUACGGGAGGCAGCAGUGGGGAAUAUUGCACAAUGGGCGGAAGCCUGAUGCAGCAACGCCGCGUGCGGGAUGACGGCCUUCGGGUUGUAAACCGCUUUCGCCUGUGACGAAGCGUGAGUGACGGUAAUGGGUAAAGAAGCACCGGCUAACUACGUG